This 301-nucleotide ribosomal RNA is filed under the name uncultured bacterium. Its description in RNAcentral is "partial 16S ribosomal RNA". It matches the Rfam family "Bacterial small subunit ribosomal RNA", at positions 509 to 809 of the family's 1533-position model. The record is from RNAcentral.
CAGUCGCCGCGGGAAUACGUAGGUGGCAAGCGUUGUCCGGAAUUAUUGGGCGUAAAGGGCUCGCAGGCGGUUUCUUAAGUCUGAUGUGAAAGCCCCCGGCCCAACCGGGGAGGGUCAUUGGAAACUGGGAAACUUGAGUGCAGAAGAGGAGAGUGGAAUUCCACGUGUAGCGGUGAAAUGCGUAGAGAUGUGGAGGAACACCAGUGGCGAAGGCGACUCUCUGGUCUGUAACUGACGCUGAGGAGCGAAAGCGUGGGGAGCGAACAGGAUUAGAUACCCCGGUAGUCCCUGUCUCUUAUAA